CAAUAAGCGGAGGAAAAGAAACCAACAGGGAUUGCCCCAGUAACGGCGAGUGAAGCGGCAACGGCUCAAAUUUGAAAUCUGGCCCCCAGGGCCCGAGUUGUAAUUUGCAGAGGAUGCUUUUGGCGCGGCGCCUUCCGAGUUCCCUGGAACGGGACGCCAUAGAGGGUGAGAGCCCCGUCUGGUCGGACGCCAAGCCAGUGUAAAGCUCCUUCGACGAGUCGAGUAGUUUGGGAAUGCUGCUCUAAACGGGAGGUAUAUGUCUUCUAAAGCUAAAUACCGGCCAGAGACCGAUAGCGCACAAGUAGAGUGAUCGAAAGAUGAAAAGCACUUUGAAAAGAGGGUUAAACAGUACGUGAAAUUGUUGAAAGGGAAGCGCUUGCGACCAGACUUGGGCCCGGUGAAUCAUCCAGCGUUCUCGCUGGUGCACUUCGCCGGGCUCAGGCCAGCAUCAGUUCGCCGCGGGGGACAAAAGCUUCGGGAACGUGGCUCCCUCGGGAGUGUUAUAGCCCGCUGCACAAUGCCCUGCGGGUGGACUGAGGUUCGCGCUCCGCAAGGAUGCUGGCGUAAUGGUCAUCAGCGACCCGUCUUGAAACACGGACCAAGGAGUCGUCUUCGUAUGCGAGUGUUCGGGUGCCAAACCCCUACGCGCAAUGAAAGUGAACGCAGGUGAGAGCUUCGGCGCAUCAUCGACCGAUCCUGAUGUUCUCGGAUGGAUUUGAGUAAGAGCAUACGGGGCCGGACCCGAAAGAAGGUGAACUAUGCCUGUAUAGGGUGAAGCCAGAGGAAACUCUGGUGGAGGCUCGCAGCGGUUCUGACGUGCAAAUCGAUCGUCAAAUAUGGGCAUGGGGGCGAAAGACUAAUCGAACCUUCUAGUAGCUGGUUUCCGCCGAAGUUUCCCUCAGGAUAGCAGUGUUGGGCUCAGUUUUAUGAGGUAAAGCGAAUGAUUAGGGACCCGGGGG
Molecule: ribosomal RNA, 959 nt
Filed under: Tolypocladium capitatum
Lineage: Eukaryota; Fungi; Ascomycota; Sordariomycetes; Hypocreales; Ophiocordycipitaceae
Description: LSU rRNA
Rfam family: Eukaryotic large subunit ribosomal RNA
Source: RNAcentral